Cyanistes caeruleus (blue tit) is the source of this 891-nucleotide non-coding RNA. The record is from RefSeq and is a predicted model, not a curated record. Lineage: Eukaryota; Metazoa; Chordata; Aves; Passeriformes; Paridae.
CUGGCUCAGCCCUGGCUGCCGGGCAGCGUUUUGCCCUCCCUUGGCCAGGCUUUCCCCGGGGCUCUCGCCCGCCCGCCCGUGGCUGAAGGGCUCAGCCGGGCCCGGCCCUGGGGCCGCUGCAGCCGCCGGCACCGCCUGGGGCCGGGCCGGGCAACCCUGGCACCUGGGCACUUAAACCCUGUUCAGAGGAGGAAGGAGGCCAACAACUGACCAUUACCAGAAUGGAUGCCAUGGCAGUUCAGACCAGCUGCUGGGAUAUGCCACUGGCUUGUGACAGAGUUACAGUGAGGUCCAAAAGAUGAGACAUGAAAUAAAUGAGAAAUUAUGAUGAAAGCAAAAUUUCCAUAAAGGCUGAACUUUCCAAGAAUCAUCAUGGUCAUUCAGAAAAUGUUUCAGUAGAUAAUGACUGUCCUCUAAAAUGUUUUGUUUUUUUUCUUUCUGAAGCAUUUUGUUCUUGUAAUUGCUUCAAAGGUACUUAAGAUUCAAGCAGACAAAGAAUGGGAUUCUGCCUCUUUCCAGUUCUGCACUGCAUGUGAAAGUACCUGCCCUCAACAAGGAGCAGUUUAAUGCAUUAUGUAUGAGAGAAUUUAGCAAAGUGGAAAUUAGGGUAUACAGUAGGAACAUUUGAAAAUUAAAGCACCCGGCCAUUUUAAUGAAUAGAAUUUUACAUAGCUGUAUUGGGAAAAGAUAUAUUAAACAGAAUAUGUUUUUAAUAUUGAAGUACAAAUGCAUUUUAUACAGUGGGAAUAUAGGAUAUGUUUGUAUCUAUUUUCUUGGUGGAAUACUAUGUGAUGGCAUGGCUCAGUAAAAAAUCCUGUCCCUGCUCAGGAGUCCAGAAAUUUUUUUGAAGAGAAAAAUUAUUUUCAUGUUUAAUAGUGAAAUUUUUCUUAG